AAGUGCUGGGAUUACAGGCGUGAGCCACCGCACGCGGCCCAGAAUAGGGAGAAUUUCUUUUUCUUUUCUGCUGUGAAUCAGGGCUACUGGCUUUGCCAGAGACUUUUGGCUGGGAACCCCAGAAUACCUGGCCAUCCCAGGCCCAUAAUACCAGCUCUGUCCCCCUAGCCCCUUGCCCAGCAGCAGCCCCAGCCAGCAGCUCCGGGAGACUGUGUGUCACUCCCUCUA
Molecule: long non-coding RNA, 228 nt
Organism: Nomascus leucogenys (northern white-cheeked gibbon)
Lineage: Eukaryota; Metazoa; Chordata; Mammalia; Primates; Hylobatidae
Exons: 3
Source: RefSeq, a predicted model, not a curated record